CCUGACGCAGCGACGCCGCGUGUGCGAUGAAGGCCUUCGGGUUGUAAAGCACUUUUAGAGAGGAUGAGGAAGGACAGUACUCUCUGAAUAAGCCUCGGCUAACUACGUGCCAGCAGCCGCGGUAAAACGUAGGAGGCGAGCGUUAUCCGGAUUUACUGGGCGUAAAGCGCGUGUAGGCGGUUUGGUAAGUUGGAUGUGAAAGCUCCUGGCUUAACUGGGAGAGGUCGUUCAAAACUACCAGACUUGAGAGUGGUAGAGGGAGGUGGAAUUCCGGGUGUAGUGGUGAAAUGCGUAGAUAUCCGGAGGAACACCAGUGGCGAAAGCGGCCUCCUGGACCACUUCUGACGCUCAGACGCGAAAGCUAAGGUAGCAAACGGGAUUAGAGACCCCGGUAGUCUUAGCUGUAAACUAUGUGAACUUGGCGUCGGUGGGUUCAAAUCCAUCGGUGCCGAAGCUAACGCGAUAAGUUCACCGCCUGGGGACUACGGCCGCAAGGUUAAAACUCAAAGGAAUUGACGG
RNAcentral lists this ribosomal RNA (519 nucleotides) under uncultured bacterium. RNAcentral's name for it is "bacterial SSU rRNA". It matches the Rfam family "Bacterial small subunit ribosomal RNA", at positions 382 to 916 of the family's 1533-position model. The record is from RNAcentral.